Molecule: long non-coding RNA, 484 nt
Filed under: Papio anubis (olive baboon)
Lineage: Eukaryota; Metazoa; Chordata; Mammalia; Primates; Cercopithecidae
Description: lncRNA (ENSPANG00000046150.1)
Source: RNAcentral
ACAAGGGAAGCAAGUUGUUGGAGAAAAUCGCUUCACCGGCUGCCCCCACCUCCCAGCUUUGGUCAGCGAGGCCGCUAUCAAAUAUGGACAUUGCCAAACCUCGUUCUAUCUCUGCGUACCAAGGAGGAUACAGGAGAGAGGAGAGAGGGGAAGGAGGUGGAAAUGCAUUAAAACAAAAAAGAGAGAAUGAAGCAGUGUAAGGUUGGUCACACAUUUGUCAUUAAGUCAAAGCUGAAUGCCAGUGUUUGCGUGAGGUGGAAUUAUCUCAUUCUUUUAGCCUGUGAGUCUCUGUGAUCCACCAGUCAAGUAUGUGAUUGGAUUCUGCCUCAACAAAACCUUAAAUUACACACCUAUUGUGCCCGAGCUAAGCCCAGUUUCACAGCGGUGAAGAAGGCAUCUCCCAGCUUCCUCAGCAGUGUUCGAUCCAGCGCCUGCUCUCAUCUGCUGGUUGAUGAAUGAGUAAUAGGAUUAGAGAGUCUCAUCU